This 762-nucleotide ribosomal RNA is filed under the name Bacillus pumilus. RNAcentral's name for it is "bacterial SSU rRNA". It matches the Rfam family "Bacterial small subunit ribosomal RNA", at positions 37 to 784 of the family's 1533-position model. The record is from RNAcentral. Lineage: Bacteria; Bacillati; Bacillota; Bacilli; Caryophanales; Bacillaceae.
UGGGGGCGGGCUAAUACAUGCAGUCGAGCGGACAGAAGGGAGCUUGCUCCCGGAUGUUAGCGGCGGACGGGUGAGUAACACGUGGGUAACCUGCCUGUAAGACUGGGAUAACUCCGGGAAACCGGAGCUAAUACCGGAUAGUUCCUUGAACCGCAUGGUUCAAGGAUGAAAGACGGUUUCGGCUGUCACUUACAGAUGGACCCGCGGCGCAUUAGCUAGUUGGUGAGGUAACGGCUCACCAAGGCGACGAUGCGUAGCCGACCUGAGAGGGUGAUCGGCCACACUGGGACUGAGACACGGCCCAGACUCCUACGGGAGGCAGCAGUAGGGAAUCUUCCGCAAUGGACGAAAGUCUGACGGAGCAACGCCGCGUGAGUGAUGAAGGUUUUCGGAUCGUAAAGCUCUGUUGUUAGGGAAGAACAAGUGCAAGAGUAACUGCUUGCACCUUGACGGUACCUAACCAGAAAGCCACGGCUAACUACGUGCCAGCAGCCGCGGUAAUACGUAGGUGGCAAGCGUUGUCCGGAAUUAUUGGGCGUAAAGGGCUCGCAGGCGGUUUCUUAAGUCUGAUGUGAAAGCCCCCGGCUCAACCGGGGAGGGUCAUUGGAAACUGGGAAACUUGAGUGCAGAAGAGGAGAGUGGAAUUCCACGUGUAGCGGUGAAAUGCGUAGAGAUGUGGAGGAACACCAGUGGCGAAGGCGACUCUCUGGUCUGUAACUGACGCUGAGGAGCGAAAGCGUGGGGAGCGAACAGGAUUAGAUA